RNAcentral lists this ribosomal RNA (492 nucleotides) under uncultured bacterium. RNAcentral describes it as "partial 16S ribosomal RNA". It matches the Rfam family "Bacterial small subunit ribosomal RNA", at positions 29 to 507 of the family's 1533-position model. The record is from RNAcentral.
AGUGAACGCUGGCGGUAGGCCUAACACAUGCAAGUCGAACGGCAGCACAGUAAGAGCUUGCUCUUACGGGUGGCGAGUGGCGGACGGGUGAGGAAUACAUCGGAAUCUACUUUUUCGUGGGGGAUAACGUAGGGAAACUUACGCUAAUACCGCAUACGACCUACGGGUGAAAGCAGGGGAUCUUCGGACCUUUCGCGAUUGAAUGAGCCGAUGUCGGAUUAGCUAGUUGGCGGGGUAAAGGCCCACCAAGGCGACGAUCCGUAGCUGGUCUGAGAGGAUGAGCGGCCACAAUGGAACUGAGAAAAGGUCCAGACUCCUAAGGGAGGCAGCAGUAGGGAAUCUUAGGAAAAGGGCGAAAGCCUGAAGGAGCAACGCCGCGUGAGUGAUGAAGGUCUUCGGAUCGUAAAACUCUGUUAUUAGGGAAGAAAAUAUGUGUAAGUAACUGUGCACAUCUUGACGGUACCUAAGCAGAAAGCCACGGCUAACUACGUG